RNAcentral lists this long non-coding RNA (219 nucleotides) under Hordeum vulgare. RNAcentral describes it as "long non-coding RNA (HVUL_LNC015644)". The record is from RNAcentral. Lineage: Eukaryota; Viridiplantae; Streptophyta; Magnoliopsida; Poales; Poaceae.
CUUACAGAGAUCGUUGACUCACUUGCCUUAUUUUGAGGAGACUUCCAAGCCAAAACAAGACAAUGGGCAGUCACCAGAUCUUCUCUAUGGAGGUGGGAUGAGGGACCUCCUCAGCAAGAUCGCUCUAGAGAAUGCUUGCGCACAGUGGCCACACACACUUCUCCCUGACCUCCAAAAGCUCCCUAUGACCCUUUGUACUGAGCAUUCAAAGUUCCUCAC